UGAUGGUUCGGUUCUUUUCAAGCACAAGUCAGGACACAAGAUGGCAUUAUGCAACCGCCCUACGUGGCUGGCAGCACGUAAGCGUAACAUAAUCAUAUUUUAUAAUUCAAGGGCAUUACCCGUUCGUGUCAUGAAUACUACAGUUGGAAAUGAAACAGAAGUUGAGCAUUCUUACGCGGUUUAGGACGGUGUUGCUCCGCACCGCGAGAGGGAAAGCGGAACCAAGCAUUUAUUUUUUAUUUUAUAUUUUUUCUUCUUAUGAAAUACAAUACAAAGGCCAAAAGGACUGUGGAAGUCUUCUCAGGUUUUGAUAACAAUUUGCUUACCUAAAGUAAACCUUGAGAAACUGUGAAAAAACACAAACCUGAUUUCACUAGAAAAAUUUAGUUCUAUUCAACGAUUAUAAAACCAACAAAUGAAGGAAAAACUAAAAAAUAUGUAGAGAUGUGAGAUUGGCGACCAUGAGAGAAUCUUUCAUGAAAACCAUGCCUUUAAAAAAAUAUAUCGUUUUCUGCCUUU
Daphnia magna is the source of this 519-nucleotide long non-coding RNA. RefSeq lists it as uncharacterized. The record is from RefSeq and is a predicted model, not a curated record. The transcript is spliced from 2 exons. NCBI's taxonomy places the organism in Eukaryota, Metazoa, Arthropoda, Branchiopoda, Diplostraca, Daphniidae.